AUCCAGAUGACGAGUCCCAAAUAGGACGAAAUG
Molecule: non-coding RNA, 33 nt
Filed under: Trichobilharzia regenti
Lineage: Eukaryota; Metazoa; Platyhelminthes; Trematoda; Strigeidida; Schistosomatidae
Source: RNAcentral